AGAUUGAACGCUGGCGGCAUGCCUUACACAUGCAAGUCGAACGGUAGAGUAGCAAUACUUGAGAGUGGCGAACGGGUGAGUAAUAUAUCGGAACGUGCCCAGUCGUGGGGGAUAACGUAGAGAAAUUUACGCUAAUACCGCAUACGAUCUAAGGAUGAAAGCGGGGGACCGUAAGGCCUCGCGCGAUUGGAGCGGCUGAUAUCAGAUUAGGUUGUUGGUGAGGUAAAGCUCACCAAGCCGACGAUCUGUAGCUGGUUUGAGAGAACGACCAGCCACACUGGGACUGAGACACGGCCCAGACCUCCUACGGGAGCAGCAGGU
This 321-nucleotide ribosomal RNA is filed under the name uncultured soil bacterium. RNAcentral's name for it is "bacterial SSU rRNA". It matches the Rfam family "Bacterial small subunit ribosomal RNA", at positions 26 to 355 of the family's 1533-position model. The record is from RNAcentral.